RNAcentral lists this ribosomal RNA (305 nucleotides) under uncultured bacterium. Its description in RNAcentral is "partial 16S ribosomal RNA". It matches the Rfam family "Bacterial small subunit ribosomal RNA", at positions 508 to 807 of the family's 1533-position model. The record is from RNAcentral.
ACAGCAGUCGCCGCGGGAAUACGUAGGGUGCAAGCGUUAAUCGGAAUUACUGGGCGUAAAGCGUGCGCAGGCGGUUAUAUAAGACAGUCGUGAAAUCCCCGGGCUCAACCUGGGAACUGCGAUUGUGACUGUAUGGCUAGAGUGUGUCUGAGGGGGGUAGAAUUCCACGUGUAGCAGUGAAAUGCGUAGAUAUGUGGAGGAAUACCGAUGGCGAAGGCAGCCCCCUGGGAUAACACUGACGCUCAUGCACGAAAGCGUGGGGAGCAAACAGGAUUAGAUACCCGAGUAGUCCCUGUCUCUUAUAC